GGGUCGUUAGCUCAAUGGUAGAGCUGCUCCCUUUUAAGGAGUAGGUUGUAGGUUCGAGUCCUACACGACCCA
This 72-nucleotide transfer RNA is filed under the name bacterium. Its description in RNAcentral is "tRNA-Lys". It matches the Rfam family "tRNA". From Rfam's summary of the family: Transfer RNA (tRNA) molecules are approximately 80 nucleotides in length. Their secondary structure includes four short double-helical elements and three loops (D, anti-codon, and T loops). The record is from RNAcentral. RNAcentral also lists the same sequence under 5 other names.